GAACCKACUAAUGUUGAAAAAUUAGCGGAUGACCUGUGGCUGGGGGUGAAAGGCCAAUCAAACCGGGAGAUAGCUGGUUCUCCCCGAAAGCUAUUUAGGUAGCGCCUCGUGAACUCAUCUCCGGGGGUAGAGCACUGUUUCGGCUAGGGGGCCAUCCCGGCUUACCAACCCGAUGCAAACUGCGAAUACCGGAGAAUGUUAUCACGGGAGACCACACGGCGGGUG
RNAcentral lists this ribosomal RNA (225 nucleotides) under Salmonella enterica subsp. enterica serovar Worthington str. BCH-5715. Its description in RNAcentral is "partial 23S ribosomal RNA". Lineage: Bacteria; Pseudomonadati; Pseudomonadota; Gammaproteobacteria; Enterobacterales; Enterobacteriaceae. The record is from RNAcentral.